AUGAGCUUCACCACCCUCUCCACUACCUUCUCCACCAACUACCAGUCCCUGGGCUCUGUGCGGACUCUCAGCCAGUAAGUCCAGCCUACCAGCAGCCCAGCCAGUGUCUAUACAGGUGCUGGGGGCUCCGGAUCUGGGAUAUCCCUGUCUUGCUCCAUCUGGGAUGGCUCUCUUGGAUCUUCAGGCCUCGUGGGAAUGGGCUGAGAGUCUCAACGGUGCUCCGGACUCCAACAACUCCAUGCAAACUAUGAAGAGGACAACUAUCAGUAAGGUCGUGGAUGGUAAAAUGAUGUCCAAGACCAAUUACACCAGAGUUCUGAGG
This 322-nucleotide long non-coding RNA is filed under the name Mus musculus (house mouse). Its description in RNAcentral is "long non-coding RNA chrX:100156634-100156956". Lineage: Eukaryota; Metazoa; Chordata; Mammalia; Rodentia; Muridae. The record is from RNAcentral.